GUCCUGUAGCCGGGCCGGCUUGGGGCUUGGUUCUAUGUCCCUGCGGGUCGGUGCAAGGGCGAAGAGGAACCCGUGGGCCUCAGGGGAUCCCGGGGGGCCGGACCAGUGUUCCCUAGUUGUGGGAGCAGACGCGUGGGCACAUUGCGGGCGGGCAGGGCCUGAAGUGCAGUCCUCCUGGGUCGCAUUUACAGAAGUUUAUACGAGACCUAGUUUCCAGGGAAGAACUCACUGAUUCCGCGAGGGAGAUGGCUUAAUGGAUGAUGGUCGUCAGCCUUAAGGAUACUUCAGUCUUAACUGUGUGUUACAAAGUUUGAAAGGGAGGGUUCCCUAUGAAUAAGAAGCACACUUGAAAGAACAGCCAUCUGGUCUAACCUCUCACUGGUGCUUCAGAGGAGGAAAAAAGGUCACAGCUAUGUUUCCAGUGUCCUCUGGGUGUUUCCAAGAGCAACAAGAAAUGAAUAAAUCUCUGCCACCCUCCAGGGUGCCCCGACUCACUUUCCCUGCAGAUGGAGGCAAGGAGGCUCCACAGACAACCCCCCUGCCUGAGGUCACAUAGUGGCCAGCAGGCCAGGGCCCUUCCCACAGAGCCCCGAUCUAAAGACAGAACACAGAGGCUACAGGAAGACUAAUCCAGAACCUCUGAGACAGCCAGGGACCACAUGAGGACUCUCCCCAGACAGCCAGAAGGCCCUUUGCUAGUUUCUUGGUACUUCAGUGGAUGUGGCAGUGGUUCUUCUGUUGGGGACCAGUGAGUACACACUGGGGAGGGCUCACCUGUGCUUCCUCAGUGGCUCCACCUCUGCUUCUAAAAAAAAUGACUCAUUCCAGAGCUGGCGCAGAGAAAAUACAAGCUGAGCUUAGAACAUCUUCUGCCAGAAAGUAAAAAAGUGCCGACAGAGUAAUGGAGACAAAUCAAAGAGACAUAAAGUCAGCUUGGAAUGUCUACUACUGGCCUAAUCUUGGGGAAUUGGAGCAUCAGAAUCAUGAGCUUUCCUUCUCCCUUAUUUAUUGGUUUUAUUUCUCCAUGUAGAACAAAGAAGAGAAUAAGAAAAUAAUCAUCUGGUAACCAUCAUAGUAAUAAUUGUUCAAACACAAGUCAUCCAUGAAAUGCUAAAUCUAGUGGGUUCUGAGGAGUAACCAGAUAUUUACAGAGCCUCAAAGUAUCUCCAUACAAAAUACGGUUGAACUACAAAAAGAAAAUUGUAACAUUAGCAUGGACAAACCUGGCAGGUACUCCUUAACUCUCCUAAGUAAUAAAAACUGUAAAAUGCAAA
Molecule: long non-coding RNA, 1274 nt
Organism: Homo sapiens (human)
Lineage: Eukaryota; Metazoa; Chordata; Mammalia; Primates; Hominidae
Source: Ensembl